Molecule: ribosomal RNA, 382 nt
Filed under: Encarsia formosa
Lineage: Eukaryota; Metazoa; Arthropoda; Insecta; Hymenoptera; Aphelinidae
Description: partial 12S ribosomal RNA
Source: RNAcentral
GGGCAAUUUGUACAUAUUUUAAAAUUUAAUUCAAUUUAUUUAAUUAAAUAAAUUUACUAUUAAAUCCUAUUUAAUUAAAAUUUUAAAAUUUUAAUUCCAAAAUUAAAAUAAAUGUAAUUCAUUAAAUUCUUAAUUAAUUAAAUAUUGAUCUGAAAUAAAAUUUUAAGAAAUUAUUAAAAAAUUAAAAUUUAAUAAAAAUAUUUUUAUAACGAACAUACAUAAAUAUAUAAUUUCAAGUAAAUCUUUUCGUGGAUUAUCAAAUUAAAUAACAAAUUCCUCUAAAUAAAUUAAAAUACCGCCAUAAAUUUUAAAUUUAAAAAUUAAAUUUAAUAAUUUAAUAAAAAUUUUUAAUUUUAAUAAUAGGGUAUCUAAUCCUAGUUUA